GACGAACGCUGGCGGCGUGCUUAACACAUGCAAGUCGAACGGAAAGGCCCUGCUUUUGUGGGGUGCUCGAGUGGCGAACGGGUGAGUAACACGUGAGUAACCUGCCCUUGACUUUGGGAUAAAUUCAGGAAACUGGGGCUAAUACCGGAUAGGAGCUCCUGCUGCAUGGGGGGGGUUGGAAAGAUUCGGCGGUUGGGGCUGGUCUCGCGGCUUAUCAGCUUGUUGGCGGGGUAGUGGCUUACCAAGGCUUUGACGGGUAGCCGGCCUGGGAGGGUGACCGGCCACAUUGGGACUGAGAUACGGCCCAGACUCCUACGGGAGGCAGCAGUGGGGAAUAUUGCACAAUGGGCGGAAGCCUGAUGCAGCAACGCCGCGUGCGGGAUGACGGCCUUCGGGUUGUAAACCGCUUUCGCCUGUGACGAAGCGUGAGUGACGGUAAUGGGUAAAGAAGCACCGGCUAACUACGUG
This 468-nucleotide ribosomal RNA is filed under the name uncultured bacterium. RNAcentral describes it as "partial 16S ribosomal RNA". It matches the Rfam family "Bacterial small subunit ribosomal RNA", at positions 28 to 507 of the family's 1533-position model. The record is from RNAcentral.